Molecule: ribosomal RNA, 243 nt
Filed under: uncultured bacterium
Lineage: Bacteria
Description: partial 16S ribosomal RNA
Rfam family: Bacterial small subunit ribosomal RNA
Source: RNAcentral
AGGAUCCGAGCGUUAUCCGGAAUUAUUGGGUUUAAAGGGUGCGUAGGCGGCCUGAUAAGUCAGGGGUGAAAGACGGUGGCUCAACCAUCGCAGUGCCUUUGAUACUGUCGGGCUUGAAUGUACUUGAGGUAGGCGGAAUGUGACAAGUAGCGGUGAAAUGCAUAGAUAUGUCACAGAACACCGAUUGCGAAGGCAGCUUACUAAAGUAUGAUUGACGCUGAGGCACGAAAGCGUGGGGAUCAA